UGGGGAAUAUUGGACAAUGGGCGCAAGCCUGAUCCAGCAAUACCGCGUGUGUGAAGAAGGCCUGAGGGUUGUAAAGCACUUUUAAUAGGGAGGAACAUCUGCCGGCCAAUACCCGGUAGUCUGACAUUACCUAUAGAAAAAGCACCGGCUAACUCCGUGCCAGCAGCCGCGGUAAUACGGAGGGUGCAAGCGUUAAUCGGAAUUACUGGGCGUAAAGCGUGCGUAGGCGGUUAAUUAAGUCAGAUGUGAAAGCCCCGGGCUUAACCUGGGAACUGCAUUUGAUACUGGUUAACUAGAGUUUAGUAGAGGAGAGUGGAAUUUCAGGUGUAGCGGUGAAAUGCGUAGAUAUCUGAAGGAACACCAGUGGCGAAGGCGACUCUCUGGACUAAAACUGACGCUGAGGUACGAAAGCGUGGGUAGCAAACAGG
RNAcentral lists this ribosomal RNA (428 nucleotides) under uncultured Methylococcaceae bacterium. RNAcentral describes it as "bacterial SSU rRNA". It matches the Rfam family "Bacterial small subunit ribosomal RNA", at positions 355 to 776 of the family's 1533-position model. The record is from RNAcentral. Lineage: Bacteria; Pseudomonadati; Pseudomonadota; Gammaproteobacteria; Methylococcales; Methylococcaceae.